Molecule: long non-coding RNA, 591 nt
Filed under: Cicer arietinum (chickpea)
Lineage: Eukaryota; Viridiplantae; Streptophyta; Magnoliopsida; Fabales; Fabaceae
Description: long non-coding RNA (CARI_LNC002428)
Source: RNAcentral
AUUAUACUUCAGCUUUGUUAGUAAGAACUCAUAACUAUUUUUAUUUUUAAAUUUAAAUACUCAAAAUACUCUUUCAUCACUUAUACUACUAAAUCUCGUAUUUUUUCUUUUCAUCACUCAACCUCAUAUCUCACCCAAUGUCUCAACCCCAUAUCUCUCACUCUUUAUGAAAAUUUGAAGAAAAAAGAAGUAGGUACAAGGUUGAAGUUGCAUGCACAAAUGUUUCUCAUUAAGAUAUGUAAAUUAACUGAGUUGGAUUUGAUGUUUGCGUUUAUUUUUAAUUUUUAAAAAAUCAUAUGUGAAUAGAGUUUACAUACUCUAAAAAAUUUGAUUUUACAAAAAACUAUUUUACAUAAACAUACGCAAAUUAAGUUUAUGUGCGACAUGUAAUGUAAAAAUUUACAAGCACUAGGCUAAUACAGUUUAUGUAAACAUUUGUAACUAAAAUCACGUAUCUAUGCAUGAUUUUUCAUUUGUACACUAAUACACUUUACAUUUACCACCAAUAUGAUGUUUGAUAUACAAGAUGGUUUAUUGUGAUGAAUUAGAAAUAUUGAAAGGAAAAAUAAAAUUGGUAUUGUCAUCUUUAGG